Molecule: ribosomal RNA, 493 nt
Filed under: uncultured bacterium
Lineage: Bacteria
Description: partial 16S ribosomal RNA
Rfam family: Bacterial small subunit ribosomal RNA
Source: RNAcentral
ACGAACGCUGGCGGCGUGCUUAACACCUGCCAGUCGAACGGUGAAGCGCCUUCCUUUUUGGUGGGUGUGGAUGAGUGGCGAACGGGUGAGUAACACGUGAGUAACCUGCCCCCUUCUUCUGGAUAACCGCAUGAAAGUGUGGCUAAUACGGGAUAUUCUGGGUCUGUCGCAUGAUGGGUCUGGGAAAGAUAUUGUUUCGGUGGGGGAUGGGCUCGCGGCCUAUCAGCUUGUUGAUGGGGUGAUGGCCUACCAAGGCGGUGACGGGUAGCCGGCCUGAGAGGGUGGACGGUCACACUGGGACUGAGACACGGCCCAGACUCCUACGGGAGGCAGCAGUGGGGAAUAUUGCACAAUGGGCGCAAGCCUGAUGCAGCGACGCCGCGUGAGGGAUGGAGGCCUGCGGGUUGUGAACCUCUUUCGCCAGUGAAGCAGGCCUGCCUCGUUUGUGGGUGGGUUGACGGUAGCUGGAGAAGAAGCGCCGGCUAACUACGUG